This 104-nucleotide small RNA is filed under the name Escherichia coli. RNAcentral's name for it is "partial RtT sRNA". It matches the Rfam family "RtT RNA", at positions 1 to 102 of the family's 130-position model. Rfam says of the family: This family represents a bacterial cis-regulatory element known as RtT RNA. The record is from RNAcentral. Lineage: Bacteria; Pseudomonadati; Pseudomonadota; Gammaproteobacteria; Enterobacterales; Enterobacteriaceae.
AUUCUGCCCAUGCGGGGAAGGAUGAGAAGCUUCAACCAAGGUUCGACUUGAGCGCCAGCGAGAGAGCGUUGCCGCAGGCAACGACCCGAAGGGCGAAGCGCGCA